GGGUUGUGAGGUUAAGCGACUAAGCGUACACGGUGGAUGCCCUGGCAGUCAGAGGCGAUGAAGGGCGUGCUAAUCUGCGAUAAGCGCCGGUAAGGUGAUAUGAACCGUUAUAACCGGCGAUACCCGAAUGGGGAAACCCAGUGUGAUUCGUCACACUAUCAUUAACUGAAUCCAUAGGUUAAUGAGGCGAACCGGGGGAACUGAAACAUCUAAGUACCCCGAGGAAAAGAAAUCAACCGAGAUUCCCCCAGUAGCGGCGAGCGAACGGGGAGGAGCCCAGAGCCUGAAUCAGCAUGUGUGUUAGUGGAAGCGUCUGGAAAGGCGCGCGAUACAGGGUGACAGCCCCGUACACAAAAGCGCAUGUGCUGUGAGCUCGAUGAGUAGGGCGGGACACGUGGUAUCCUGUCUGAAUAUGGGGGGACCAUCCUCCAAGGCUAAAUACUCCUGACUGACCGAUAGUGAACCAGUACCGUGAGGGAAAGGCGAAAAGAACCCCGGCGAGGGGAGUGAAAAAGAACCUGAAACCGUGUACGUACAAGCAGUGGGAGCNNNNNNNNNNNNNNNNNNNNNNNNNNNNNNNNNNNNNNNNGGCGUUAAGUUGCAGGGUAUAGACCCGAAACCCGGUGAUCUAGCCAUGGGCAGGUUGAAGGUUGGGUAACACUAACUGGAGGACCGAACCGACUAAUGUUGAAAAAUUAGCGGAUGACCUGUGGCUGGGGGUGAAAGGCCAAUCAAACCGGGAGAUAGCUGGUUCUCCCCGAAAGCUAUUUAGGUAGCGCCUCGUGAAUUCAUCUCCGGGGGUAGAGCACUGUUUCGGCUAGGGGGCCAUCCCGGCUUACCAACCCGAUGCAAACUGCGAAUACCGGAGAAUGUUAUCACGGGAGACACACGGCGGGUGCUAACGUCCGUCGUGAAGAGGGAAACAACCCAGACCGCCAGCUAAGGUCCCAAAGUCAUGGUUAAGUGGGAAACGAUGUGGGAAGGCCCAGACAGCCAGGAUGUUGGCUUAGAAGCAGCCAUCAUUUAAAGAAAGCGUAAUAGCUCACUGGUCGAGUCGGCCUGCGCGGAAGAUGUAACGGGGCUAAACCAUGCACCGAAGCUGCGGCAGCGACACUGUGUGUUGUUGGGUAGGGGAGCGUUCUGUAAGCCUGCGAAGGUGGCCUGUGAGGGUUGCUGGAGGUAUCAGAAGUGCGAAUGCUGACAUAAGUAACGAUAAAGCGGGUGAAAAGCCCGCUCGCCGGAAGACCAAGGGUUCCUGUCCAACGUUAAUCGGGGCAGGGUGAGUCGACCCCUAAGGCGAGGCCGAAAGGCGUAGUCGAUGGGAAACGGGUUAAUAUUCCCGUACUUGGUGUUACUGCGAAGGGGGGACGGAGAAGGCUAUGUUGGCCGGGCGACGGUUGUCCCGGUUUAAGCGUGUAGGUGUGUGUUCCAGGUAAAUCCGGUUCACUUUAACACUGAGGCGUGACGACGAGGCACUACGGUGCUGAAGCAACAAAUGCCCUGCUUCCAGGAAAAGCCUCUAAGCAUCAGGUAACAUCAAAUCGUACCCCAAACCGACACAGGUGGUCAGGUAGAGAAUACCAAGGCGCUUGAGAGAACUCGGGUGAAGGAACUAGGCAAAAUGGUGCCGUAACUUCGGGAGAAGGCACGCUGACACGUAGGUGAAGUGAUUUACUCAUGGAGCUGAAGUCAGUCGAAGAUACCAGCUGGCUGCAACUGUUUAUUAAAAACACAGCACUGUGCAAACACGAAAGUGGACGUAUACGGUGUGACGCCUGCCCGGUGCCGGAAGGUUAAUUGAUGGGGUCAGCGCAAGCGAAGCUCCUGAUCGAAGCCCCGGUAAACGGCGGCCGUAACUAUAACGGUCCUAAGGUAGCGAAAUUCCUUGUCGGGUAAGUUCCGACCUGCACGAAUGGCGUAAUGAUGGCCAGGCUGUCUCCACCCGAGACUCAGUGAAAUUGAACUCGCUGUGAAGAUGCAGUGUACCCGCGGCAAGACGGAAAGACCCCGUGAACCUUUACUAUAGCUUGACACUGAACAUUGAGCCUUGAUGUGUAGGAUAGGUGGGAGGCUUUGAAGUGUGGACGCCAGUCUGCAUGGAGCCGACCUUGAAAUACCACCCUUUAAUGUUUGAUGUUCUAACGUGGACCCGUUACCCGGGUUGCGGACAGUGUCUGGUGGGUAGUUUGACUGGGGCGGUCUCCUCCUAAAGAGUAACGGAGGAGCACGAAGGUUGGCUAAUCCUGGUCGGACAUCAGGAGGUUAGUGCAAUGGCAUAAGCCAGCUUGACUGCGAGCGUGACGGCGCGAGCAGGUGCGAAAGCAGGUCAUAGUGAUCCGGUGGUUCUGAAUGGAAGGGCCAUCGCUCAACGGAUAAAAGGUACUCCGGGGAUAACAGGCUGAUACCGCCCAAGAGUUCAUAUCGACGGCGGUGUUUGGCACCUCGAUGUCGGCUCAUCACAUCCUGGGGCUGAAGUAGGUCCCAAGGGUAUGGCUGUUCGCCAUUUAAAGUGGUACGCGAGCUGGGUUUAGAACGUCGUGAGACAGUUCGGUCCCUAUCUGCCGUGGGCGCUGGAGAACUGAGGGGGGCUGCUCCUAGUACGAGAGGACCGGAGUGGACGCAUCACUGGUGUUCGGGUUGUCAUGCCAAUGGCACUGCCCGGUAGCUAAAUGCGGAAGAGAUAAGUGCUGAAAGCAUCUAAGCACGAAACUUGCCCCGAGAUGAGUUCUCCCUGAGACUUAGAGUCUCCUGAAGGAACGUUGAAGACGACGACGUUGAUAGGCCGGGUGUGUAAGCGCAGCGAUGCGUUGAGCUAACCGGUACUAAUGAACCGUGAGGCUUAACCUUACAACGCCGAAG
This 2859-nucleotide ribosomal RNA is filed under the name Salmonella enterica subsp. enterica serovar Enteritidis. Its description in RNAcentral is "bacterial LSU rRNA". It matches the Rfam family "Bacterial large subunit ribosomal RNA". The record is from RNAcentral. Lineage: Bacteria; Pseudomonadati; Pseudomonadota; Gammaproteobacteria; Enterobacterales; Enterobacteriaceae.